Molecule: ribosomal RNA, 876 nt
Filed under: Acidimicrobiaceae bacterium
Lineage: Bacteria; Bacillati; Actinomycetota; Acidimicrobiia; Acidimicrobiales; Acidimicrobiaceae
Description: bacterial LSU rRNA
Rfam family: Bacterial large subunit ribosomal RNA
Source: RNAcentral
ACUUUCCUACUGUCUCAACCACAGACCCGGCGAAAUUGAAGUACGAGUAAAGAUGCUCGUUAGCUGCAUCAGGACGGAAAGACCCCGUGGACCUUUACUACAGCUUGCUGUUGAGUUUUAGUUCAUAUUGUGUAGGAUAGGUGGGAGACUUUGAAGCAUUGGCGCCAGCCAGUGUGGAGUCAACCUUGAAAUACCACCCUUUAUGUGCCGGAACCCUAACCUCGGUCCGUUAUCCGGAUCAGGGACAGCGUCAGGUGGGUAGUUUGACUGGGGCGGUCGCCUCCNNUCAGCCGUCGAGUGCAAUGGCACAAGGGAGCUUGACUGCGAGACCUACAAGUCGAGCAGGUGCGAAAGCAGGGCAUAGUGAUCCAGCGGUUGCUUGUGGAAGCGCCGUUGCUCAACGGAUAAAAGGUACCCCGGGGAUAACAGGCUCAUCUUCCCCAAGAGUCCAUAUCGACGGGAAGGUUUGGCACCUCGAUGUCGGCUCGUCGCAUCCUGGGGCUGAAGCCGGUCCCAAGGGUUGGGCUGUUCGCCCAUUAAAGCGGUACGCGAGCUGGGUUUAGAACGUCGUGAGACAGUUCGGUCCCUAUCCGAUGCAGCCGUAGGAGAUUUGAGGAAGGCUAUCCCUAGUACGAGAGGACCGGGAUGGACGAAGCUCUCGUGUGUCAGUUGUCCUGCCAAGGGCACCGCUGAUUAGCGACCUUCGGGUGGGAUAAGCGCUGAAAGCAUCUAAGCGCGAAGCUCGUUCCAAGAUGAAAUCUCCCACAGGGUUAACCUGGUAAGGCCCGUGGCCAGACGACCACGUUGAUAGGCCGGAAGUGUACGUGCGGUAACGCAUUCAGCUGACCGGUACUAAUCGGCCGAGGGCUUGGAAAC